AGAGUUUGAUCCUGGCUCAGAUUGAACGCUGGCGGCGUGCCUAACACAUGCAAGUCGAGCGGCAGCGNNNGGGCAACCCUGGCGGCGAGCGGCGAACGGGUGAGUAACGCUUGGGAAUCUGCCCAUGAGUGGGGAAUAACCAGCCGAAAGGUUGGCUAAUACCGCAUACGCCCUGAGGGGGAAAGCGGGGGAUCGCAAGACCUCGCGCUGAUGGAUGAGCCCAAGUCGGAUUAGCUAGUUGGUGGGGUAACGGCCCACCAAGGCGACGAUCCGUAGCUGGUCUGAGAGGACGACCAGCCACACUGGGACUGAGACACGGCCCAGACUCCUACGGGAGGCAGCAGUGGGGAAUAUUGGACAAUGGGGGCAACCCUGAUCCAGCGACGCCGCGUGUGUGAAGAAGGCCUGCGGGUUGUAAAGCACUUUUAGUGGGGAUGAAAAGCUCGAGGCCAAUACCCUCGGGUCUUGACCUAACCCACAGAAAAAGCACCGGCUAACUCUGUGCCAGCAGCCGCGGUAAUACAGAGGGUGCGAGCGUUAAUCGGAAUUACUGGGCGUAAAGCGUGCGUAGACGGUUGCAUAAGUCGGAUGUGAAAGCCCCGGGCUCAACCUGGGAAUGGCAUUCGAGACUGUGUAGCUAGGGUACGGAAGAGGGAAGUGGAAUUUCCGGUAGCGGUGAAAUGCGUAGAUAUCGGAAGGAACACCAGUGGCGAAAGCGACUUCCUGGUCCAGUACCGACGUUCAGGCACGAAAGCGUGGGGAGCAAACAGGAUUAGAUACCCUAGUAGUCC
This 791-nucleotide ribosomal RNA is filed under the name uncultured bacterium. RNAcentral's name for it is "bacterial SSU rRNA". It matches the Rfam family "Bacterial small subunit ribosomal RNA", at positions 8 to 796 of the family's 1533-position model. The record is from RNAcentral.